RNAcentral lists this ribosomal RNA (433 nucleotides) under uncultured bacterium. RNAcentral's name for it is "partial 16S ribosomal RNA". It matches the Rfam family "Bacterial small subunit ribosomal RNA", at positions 29 to 507 of the family's 1533-position model. The record is from RNAcentral.
AACGAACGCUGGCGGCAUGCCUAACACAUGCAAGUCGAACGAGACCUUCGGGUCUAGUGGCGCACGGGUGCGUAACGCGUGGGAACCUGCCUUUAGGUUCGGAAUAACUCAGAGAAAUUUGAGCUAAUACCGGAUGAUGUCUUCGGACCAAAGAUUUAUCGCCUUUAGAUGGGCCCGCGUUGGAUUAGCUAGUUGGUGGGGUAAAGGCCUACCAAGGCGACGAUCCAUAGCUGGUCUGAGAGGAUGAUCAGACACACUGGGACUGAGACACGGCCCAGACUCCUACGGGAGGCAGCAGUGGGGAAUAUUGGACAAUGGGCGAAAGCCUGAUCCAGCAAUGCCGCGUGAGUGAUGAAGGCCUUAGGGUUGUAAAGCUCUUUUACCCGAGAUGAUAAUGACAGUAUCGGGAGAAUAAGCUCCGGCUAACUCCGUG